UGCCUCUUGGUACUUACCACAGGCUGUGUUUUUGUAUUGACUAUAUAGAAAGAGGAGGCAAAGUAAACCUACCCUAUAUACACCUCAGCCUAGGCCCUAUGCCUGGUCUGAAUUGUGAGUGAUGAGACAUGG
This 132-nucleotide small nucleolar RNA is filed under the name Castor canadensis (American beaver). Its description in RNAcentral is "Small nucleolar RNA SNORA51 (ENSCCNG00000030835.1)". It matches the Rfam family "Small nucleolar RNA SNORA51". From Rfam's summary of the family: ACA51 is a member of the H/ACA class of snoRNA that guide the sites of modification of uridines to pseudouridines. The record is from Rfam by way of RNAcentral. Lineage: Eukaryota; Metazoa; Chordata; Mammalia; Rodentia; Castoridae.